RNAcentral lists this ribosomal RNA (450 nucleotides) under uncultured bacterium. RNAcentral's name for it is "partial 16S ribosomal RNA". It matches the Rfam family "Bacterial small subunit ribosomal RNA", at positions 354 to 796 of the family's 1533-position model. The record is from RNAcentral.
GUGGGGAAUAUUGGACAAUGGGCGAAAGCCUGAUCCAGCCAUGCCGCGUGUGUGAAGAAGGUCUUCGGAUUGUAAAGCACUUUAAGUUGGGAGGAAGGGCAGUAAGUUAAUACCUAGCUGUUUUGACGUUACCGACAGAAUAAGCACCGGCUAACUUCGUGCCAGCAGCCGCGGUAAUACGAAGGGUGCAAGCGUUAAUCGGAAUUACUGGGCGUAAAGCGCGCGUAGGUGGUUUUGUAAGUUGGAGGUGAAAUCCCCGGGCUCAACCUGGGAACUGCCUCCAAAACUGCAUGACUAGAGUACGGUAGAGGGUAGUGGAAUUUCCUGUGUAGCGGUGAAAUGCGUAGAUAUAGGAAGGAACACCAGUGGCGAAGGCGACUACCUGGACUGAUACUGACACUGAGGUGCGAAAGCGUGGGGAGCAAACAGGAUUAGAAACCCGUGUAGUCC